CCAAUAGCGUAUAUUAAAGUUGUUGUGGUUAAAAAGCUCGUAGUUGAACCUUGGGCCUGGCUGGCCGGUCCGCCUCACCGCGUGUACUGGUCCGGCCGGGCCUUUCCCUCUGUGGAACCCCAUGCCCUUCACUGGGUGUGGUGGGGAAACAGGACUUUUACUGUGAAAAAAUUAGAGUGCUCCAGGCAGGCCUAUGCUCGAAUACAUUAGCAUGGAGUAAUAGAAUAGGACGUGUGGUUCUAUUUUGUUGGUUUCUAGGACCGCCGUAAUGAUUAAUAGGGACAGUCGGGGGCAUCAGUAUUCAAUUGUCAGAGGUGAAAUUCUUGGAUUUAUUGAAGACUAACUACUGCGAAAGCAUUUGCCAAGGAUGUUUUCAUUAAGCAGGAACGAAAGUUAGGGGAUCGAAGACGAUCAGAUACCGUCGUAGUCUUAACCAUAAACUAUGCCGACUAGGGAUCGGACGGUGUUAUUUUUUGACCCGUUCGGCACCUUACG
RNAcentral lists this ribosomal RNA (495 nucleotides) under uncultured Glomeromycotina. RNAcentral's name for it is "partial small subunit ribosomal RNA". It matches the Rfam family "Eukaryotic small subunit ribosomal RNA", at positions 591 to 1092 of the family's 1831-position model. Lineage: Eukaryota; Fungi; Glomeromycota. The record is from RNAcentral.